Molecule: ribosomal RNA, 284 nt
Filed under: uncultured bacterium
Lineage: Bacteria
Description: partial 16S ribosomal RNA
Rfam family: Bacterial small subunit ribosomal RNA
Source: RNAcentral
GAUGCCUACGGGACGCAGCAGUGGGGAAUAUUGCACAAUGGGGGAAACCCUGAUGCAGCAACGCCGCGUGAAGGAAGACGGUUUUCGGAUUGUAAACUUCUGUUCUUAGUGAAGAAAAAUGACGGUAGCUAAGGAGCAAGCCACGGCUAACUACGUGCCAGCAGCCGCGGUAAUACGUAGGUGGCAAGCGUUGUCCGGAAUUACUGGGUGUAAAUGGAGCGCAGGCGGGAAGCCCAGUCAGCUGUGAAAACUACGGGCUUCACUUGUAGACUGCAGUUUUAACU